RNAcentral lists this ribosomal RNA (297 nucleotides) under uncultured bacterium. Its description in RNAcentral is "partial 16S ribosomal RNA". It matches the Rfam family "Bacterial small subunit ribosomal RNA", at positions 334 to 646 of the family's 1533-position model. The record is from RNAcentral.
UGGCACCUACGGUGCGCAGCAGUGGGGAAUAUUGCACAAUGGGGGAAACCCUGAUGCAGCAACGCCGCGUGGGUGAAGGAGCGUUUCGGCGCGUAAAGCCCUGUCAGCGGGGAAGAAGAAAGACGGUACCCGACCAAGAAGCCCCGGCUAACUACGUGCCAGCAGCCGCGGUAAUACGUAGGGGGCGAGCGUUAUCCGGAAUUACUGGGUGUAAAGGGAGCGUAGACGGCGAGGUAAGACUGAAGUGGAAGCCCGCGGCCCAACCGCGGAACUGCUUUGGGAACUGUUUUACUGGAG